UACAGAGGGGGCAAGCGUUAUCCGGAAUUAUUGGGCGUAAAGGGCGCGUAGGCGGCCUGGCAAGUGGAAGGUGAAAUCCCUCGGCUUAACCGAGGAACUGCCCUCCAAACUGCUUGGCUUGAGUCCGGGAGAGGUGAGUGGAAUUCCCAGUGUAGCGGUGAAAUGCGUAGAUAUUGGGAGGAACACCAGUGGCGAAGGCGGCUCACUGGACCAUUACUGACGCUGAUGCACGAAAGCUAGGGGAGCAAACAGG
RNAcentral lists this ribosomal RNA (253 nucleotides) under uncultured bacterium. Its description in RNAcentral is "partial 16S ribosomal RNA". It matches the Rfam family "Bacterial small subunit ribosomal RNA", at positions 524 to 776 of the family's 1533-position model. The record is from RNAcentral.